UUGAGCAACACUGAGAAAUGACUUCGCUUACCGAGGGCUCGUGGGGACCAGAGUUCCAUCAGCGCCAAGAUUCCCCUGGACAUUUAUGCCGUAGGGAAUCUGCUGAAGUACCCUAGAAGGAGAUUUAUGCUUCGGAAGAUUGCCUUCUGUACGGCUGGCCAUCUCAGAACCUCAGGGAGGGAGAGAAGGCCUGAAAAUCCAAGUCGGUUUCACAAUUCGUUUUCACGUAGAACAAGGGAAAGGGCGAAAAUAUGAAUCUCUUUGAAGACAGUGUGAGAGUUUUGUGUUUUCAAAAGGGAAUGCUGAUUUGAGAGGCAUUGCUCUAAAACAUAAACUUUCCAGCACAGACUGAGCGUUUGGAAUGGUGGACACUCAGAGAGUUAGGCGCACAGGCUUUGGAGCCAGGCUGUCUGGGUUCAAAUCCUGGCUGUGUGUGUGACACGUUGGCAAAUUGCCUUACAUUUUCGCAGUCUUCAUUUCCUUCCUCCCUUGGAAAGUGCAAAUGCGGUACCGAGGCCACAUUACCAGCUGUCUUGGGAAGCUCUGGCUGAGAAGCUGGCUGUGUGACUCACUGGUCCCAGCCCCUGACCCGGGCAAGACCUGCCUUCAGCUUCUGGAUUUCUGGAGAAGCCUGCAGGACGCCAUGCAGGAAGUGACCUCAUGGCUGUUUUGGCCAUGUGGGUGGUGUUCAUCACUGGUAGCAGCUGAAGUUUAUCAGAAGGGUUAGCCUUUGCACUUUGACAACCAACUACUAUCUCGCCCGCAAUUUAGAAUAAUAAAAAGUGCAUGGCAAAAAAAGAAAAA
Meriones unguiculatus (Mongolian gerbil) is the source of this 804-nucleotide long non-coding RNA. RefSeq lists it as uncharacterized. The transcript is spliced from 2 exons. The record is from RefSeq and is a predicted model, not a curated record. NCBI's taxonomy places the organism in Eukaryota, Metazoa, Chordata, Mammalia, Rodentia, Muridae.